This 892-nucleotide ribosomal RNA is filed under the name uncultured bacterium. Its description in RNAcentral is "bacterial SSU rRNA". It matches the Rfam family "Bacterial small subunit ribosomal RNA", at positions 505 to 1397 of the family's 1533-position model. The record is from RNAcentral.
GUGCCAGCAGCCGCGGUAAUACGUAGGUGGCAAGCGUUGUCCGGAUUUAUUGGGCGUAAAGCGAGCGCAGGCGGUUUCUUAAGUCUGAUGUGAAAGCCUUCGGCUCAACCGAAGAAGUGCAUCGGAAACUGGGAAACUUGAGUGCAGAAGAGGACAGUGGAACUCCAUGUGUAGCGGUGAAAUGCGUAGAUAUAUGGAAGAACACCAGUGGCGAAGGCGGCUGUCUGGUCUGUAACUGACGCUGAGGCUCGAAAGCCUGGGUAGCAAACAGGAUUAGAUACCCUGGUAGUCCAUGCCGUAAACGAUGAGUGCUAGGUGUUGGAGGGUUUCCGCCCUUCAGUGCCGCAGCUAACGCAUUAAGCACUCCGCCUGGGGAGUACGACCGCAAGGUUGAAACUCAAAGGAAUUGACGGGGGCCCGCACAAGCGGUGGAGCAUGUGGUUUAAUUCGAAGCAACGCGAAGAACCUUACCAGGUCUUGACAUCCUUUGACCACUCUAGAGAUAGAGCUUUCCCUUCGGGGACAAAGUGACAGGUGGUGCAUGGUUGUCGUCAGCUCGUGUCGUGAGAUGUUGGGUUAAGUCCCGCAACGAGCGCAACCCUUAUUACUAGUUGCCAGCAUUUAGUUGGGCACUCUAGUGAGACUGCCGGUGACAAACCGGAGGAAGGUGGGGACGACGUCAAAUCAUCAUGCCCCUUAUGACCUGGGCUACACACGUGCUACAAUGGAUGGUACAACGAGUUGCGAGACCGCGAGGUUUAGCUAAUCUCUUAAAACCAUUCUCAGUUCGGAUUGUAGGCUGCAACUCGCCUACAUGAAGCCGGAAUCGCUAGUAAUCGCGGAUCAGCAUGCCGCGGUGAAUACGUUCCCGGGCCUUGUACACACCGCCCGU